This 997-nucleotide ribosomal RNA is filed under the name uncultured bacterium. Its description in RNAcentral is "bacterial SSU rRNA". It matches the Rfam family "Bacterial small subunit ribosomal RNA", at positions 356 to 1376 of the family's 1533-position model. The record is from RNAcentral.
GGGGAAUAUUGCACAAUGGGGGAAACCCUGAUGCAGCGACGCCGCGUGGAGGAAGAAGGUCUUCGGAUUGUAAACUCCUGUUGUUGAGGAAGAUAAUGACGGUACUCAACAAGGAAGUGACGGCUAACUACGUGCCAGCAGCCGCGGUAAAACGUAGGUCACAAGCGUUGUCCGGAAUUACUGGGUGUAAAGGGAGCGCAGGCGGGAAGGCAAGUUGGAAGUGAAAUCCAUGGGCUCAACCCAUGAACUGCUUUCAAAACUGUUUUUCUUGAGUAGUGCAGAGGUAGAUGGAAUUCCCGGUGUAGCGGUGGAAUGCGUAGAUAUCGGGAGGAACACCAGUGGCGAAGGCGGUCUACUGGGCACCAACUGACGCUGAGGCUCGAAAGCAUGGGUAGCAAACAGGAUUAGAUACCCUGGUAGUCCAUGCCGUAAACGAUGAUUACUAGGUGUUGGGGGAUUGACCCCCUCAGUGCCGCAGUUAACACAAUAAGUAAUCCACCUGGGGAGUACGACCGCAAGGUUGAAACUCAAAGGAAUUGACGGGGGCCCGCACAAGCAGUGGAGUAUGUGGUUUAAUUCGAAGCAACGCGAAGAACCUUACCAGGUCUUGACAUCCGAUGCAUAACACAGAGAUGUGUGAAAUCCUUCGGGACAUCGAGACAGGUGGUGCAUGGUUGUCGUCAGCUCGUGUCGUGAGAUGUUGGGUUAAGUCCCGCAACGAGCGCAACCCUUAUUGCCAGUUACUACGUUAAGAGGACUCUGGCGAGACUGCCGUUGACAAAACGGAGGAAGGUGGGGAUGACGUCAAAUCAUCAUGCCCUUUAUGACCUGGGCUACACACGUACUACAAUGGCGUUAAACAAAGAGAAGCAAGACCGCGAGGUGGAGCAAAACUCAAAAACAACGUCUCAGUUCAGAUUGCAGGCUGCAACUCGCCUGCAUGAAGUCGGAAUUGCUAGUAAUCGCGGAUCAGCAUGCCGCGGUGAAUACGUUCCCG